RNAcentral lists this long non-coding RNA (343 nucleotides) under Physcomitrium patens. RNAcentral describes it as "long non-coding RNA (PPAT_LNC011818)". The record is from RNAcentral. Lineage: Eukaryota; Viridiplantae; Streptophyta; Bryopsida; Funariales; Funariaceae.
AAGAUCAAGGGAAUUAGGGAGAGGAGCUUCAUGCUUCGGGUCGAGGAAGGAAAGACAUAGAAUUUGGAUUUUUCUUCUUCGUAGAGUUUUGGGACGACCGAGGCAAUCGCUGCUGAAGUCAGUGUUGUAAUGGUGAAUCGGGAUUUUUAAAUGAAGUGGGUUUGAAUACUCUUGACUGUUUUGUAAAAUCGAGUUAUGUCUGUGAUUGAAGGAUUAAAGGGGUGUCUAUAGGAUUGAGUAUGCGGAGUGAAUGAAAUUUAUUGGGUUAAUCUAACAGAACAGUCAGUGGAUACAAGAUCGUAAGUACAAAGCGGUAUUGAAGAUUAACAGUUUGGGUUGUUCG